AUCAUCAUAUGAUGAAAGUUAAAAAAUCUUAGGACACCUUCCUACACAGUAUUUAUUAGCUGUGGAUGAGAAUAGAAAUUCCAUUCUGAUGAUGAU
Small nucleolar RNA from Juglans microcarpa x Juglans regia, 96 nucleotides. RefSeq annotates it as small nucleolar RNA snoR31/Z110/Z27. The record is from RefSeq and is a predicted model, not a curated record. Lineage: Eukaryota; Viridiplantae; Streptophyta; Magnoliopsida; Fagales; Juglandaceae. The transcript has a single exon.